Physeter macrocephalus (sperm whale) is the source of this 4394-nucleotide RNA transcript. It is a transcript of the gene named TNF receptor associated factor 1, with no coding region annotated. The transcript is spliced from 10 exons. The record is from RefSeq and is a predicted model, not a curated record. NCBI's taxonomy places the organism in Eukaryota, Metazoa, Chordata, Mammalia, Artiodactyla, Physeteridae.
AAGAUACUCUGGGCAGAGCUAAUAUGCAUGGAACUUGCAUUUUUGGACCUGACUCCAGAACCCUGGGGAUUUCCACUGCGGCCGUGAACACCCACACUGAGUAUCCUAGGCUGCUCGGAGGUUCCAGGGAACAUGGACAAGUCACCGACUGGGACUCUCUCUGCCCCUGUCCCCUGGGGAGGAAGUGGAGGAAGCCAGUGGCAGCCUGAGGUCCUCCGACAGGGGAAACUCUAACUGUGGUUCCUGAAAGUCCGUGACACGGUUCUUUUUUCUCUCUGACUUGCUCUCCCCUCCCUCUUGCUCAAAAGAAUGACUGGACACUCCUAGAGCCUGCAGUCACCAUCCAGGGGAUUUUUUUCACCACAAAGGGUAAUUCCUGUCUCAUCCCUGCUGUGACUCAGCUGUGACGUUGAACCACACAAGCCAGCGAGAAGGUAAAAUCAUCAGACUGCUGCUCAUCAGAGAGGGUGGCCCGGCCAGCACUCACCUCUUCUCCCAGCACAGACUCCACGGAGCUGGGCCCCUCCCCAGAGGAGCGUGAACAGGGCCCCUCCACCAGCCAGCCUGGGACCCCGAGAUGGCCUCUGGCUCAGCCAGCAGCCCCCGCCCGGCCCCCGAUGAGAACGAGUUCCCCUUUGGGUGCCCCCCCACCGUCUGCCAGGACCCACCAGAGCCCAGGCCCCUCUGCUGCACCGUCUGUCUCUCUGAGAACGUGAGGAAUGGUGAGGAUCGGAUCUGUCCCAAAUGCAAAGGGGAUGACACACCGUCCGAAAGGCCAGGAAGCCUUCUGUCUCAGGAGCAGGAUCACCCCGAGGUGGCUGAGGCUGGAGUUGGGUGUCCCUUUGCAGGUGUUGGCUGCUCCUUCAAGGGGGGCCCAAAGUUCAUGCAGGAGCAUGAGGUCACCUCCCAGGCCAGCCAUCUGAACCUGCUGUUAGGGUUCAUGAAACAGUGGAAGGCCCAGCUGGGCUCUGGCCUGGGGUCUGGGCCCGUGGCCCUGGAGCGGAAUCUGUCAGACCUGCAGCUGCAGGGGGCUGUGGAGGCAGCUGGGGACCUAGAGGUGGACUGCUACCGGGCCCCCUGCUCCGAGAGCCAGGAGGAGCUGGCCCUGCAGCACUUCAUGAAGGAGAAGCUCCUGACUGAGCUGGAGGGGAAGCUGUGCGUGUUUGAGAACAUUGUUGCCGUCCUCAACAAGGAGGUGGAGGCCUCGCACCUGGCCCUGGCCGCCUCCAUCCACCAGAGCCGGCUGGACCGUGAGCACAUCCUGAGCUUGGAACGGAGGGUGGUGGAGCUGCAGCAGACCUUGGCCCAGAAAGACCAGGCCCUGGGCAAGCUGGAGCAGAGCUUCCGCCUCAUGGGAGAGGCCUCCUACGACGGCACCUUCCUAUGGAAGGUCACCAGUGUCACCAGGCGGUGCCAUGAAUCAGCCUGCGGCAGGACCGUCAGCCUCUUCUCCCCAGCUUUCUACACUGCCAAGUACGGAUACAAGUUGUGCCUGCGGCUCUACCUGAAUGGGGACGGGACGGGGAAGAGGACCCACCUGUCCCUCUUCAUCGUGAUCAUGAGAGGGGAGUAUGAUGCUCUGCUGCCGUGGCCUUUCCGGAACAAGGUCACUUUCAUGCUGCUCGACCAGAACAACCGUGAGCACGCCAUCGACGCCUUCCGGCCCGACCUGAACUCAGCAUCCUUCCAGCGGCCCCAGAGUGAAACCAAUGUGGCCAGCGGCUGCCCGCUCUUCUUCCCCCUCAACAAGCUGCAGUCACCCAAGCAUGCCUACGUGAAGGACGACACCAUGUUCCUCAAGUGCAUCGUGGAGACAAACGCUUAGGGCAGGAGGGGCCGAGCAAGCUGCACCCGGGUCCCGAGGGAGCACCCGCUCAGACGGGGGUUCAGCAAGAUGACUGAGGUCCUGCCCUUGGUGCCCAGGAUCCCAAGGCACAGUGAUGGGCCGGGGCUGGCAUGAUGUGAGCCGAGCUGACAGACUGGCCGUGGCUAGCUACCAGCUUAGUGUGGCAGGACCUUGGACUGGGCCCACAGAGGCAGACGGUCCCAAAGGAGGUGCUGCAGGACUGAUUCCCCUGCAUUGACCAUGCAGCACUGGAGCCCUGAGAGCCACCCGGCCCUGAAUGUGGAGAUGGACUCCGGCCAAGGUGGGGAAGGUGUGGGGACCAGGCUGGGGCGUGGAUGGGGAGCUGGAGAUCUGGGACCUCAGCAAAGAAGCUCCAAGGAUGGGAAGACCUCUGCAGGCCGCCAUGGAGAGUGAGCUUGCUCUCGUCCUGCUUGGGAUCAGAACCAGGACCAGGGGGUGGAAGUGACAGGAUGCCAGUGCGAAUUCAGUCUGGCCCAGCCUGGACCGAGUUCCCCAGCACUGGAGGUGAACAAGCAAAACCAGGGGGCUACGCUGUGGGGAGGGCAUCAAAUGGGGAGAGGGGUGGUUUUGAAGACCUUCAUGGUUCCUUCCAACCCAGAGUCUCUGACUCUAGGUCUCCUGGGCCAGAUGAGGCCCAGUGCCGCAGGGGGUCUGGAAACAUUCAGGAGCCCGAUGCCCUCCAGUUUCCUGACUCACCUUCAGUACCGCCAGGUGGGCUGAGCCGACCCGCACGGCACCUGCCACCCUGGGCCCGGCAGUCCGCUUGCCCUCCAUGCAGAGCCACGCGGAGGCCAUGCGUCCUGCACGUCCCCCAGCUGAGCGCCCCUCCACCUCCUCCAGGUGAAACCAGGUCCCUAGCUCCCAGAGGCAGCUGGAAGGAGCCUGGAGAAGGAGAGGGGCACAGACUCUCCACGCUGCCUGCCUGGGGGCCCCACUUUUGGCCAUUUCCAGAAUCCCGUGUCACCCGAUGAACGAAGGCAGCCACAUCUCUAGUUGAUGGAUCAGGACCGCUGAGCCACCUGCAGAUGUUGUCCUUUUAUAUGUAUAAAACCAAAGAAAGAAUUUUUUUUAAUCUCUUUUGCGCUUUUCAUAAAGGGUAUGGUUGUGGGAGUUGGUGGUGACUUGUGAGCUCUGGGUGGUGCUGCCAGUUUUGCAGGUGGCAUCCAAGGCUGGUGUGGUGGCAGGAACAUGCCUCUCUGCCUCAGUCUUCUGUCUGUAAUGGGGGAACCGCCUCAGCCUGCCUCCCUCGCUGAGUUCUGUGACCUCAAAGGAGAUGCUACACAGGAGAGGCUAGAGAGAGAAAGGCCCGGGCACCACUGCCCGCCUGGCCUGGCCUGGAUGUGGCCCAUGCUUGUCUUCUCACCUUGGAGGUCCCUACACAACCAGUUCCUGUAGGGACCCUCGCCCGUCUUUCCAGAGCCCUGAAGCUGCACAUUGCUGCUCAGAGAUGCAGGGCAGGCCCCCCGCUCCUCUCCCCACCAGACUUCCCUGCAGCUUACCCUUGCUCUAUUUGCAGAGGCUGUGAUGGGCUUCACGCCUUGCACCCUCAGGGUUCUCAUCUGUGAAAUGGGUCAGCAGCCCUGCCUGUCCUCUCUAGCCCAGCGUUUGUGAGGAUGAUGCUCACAUAAGAGGUGACGGAGCAGCACGGCCCAGUGGAAUCAGUAUAUCAGAAAACCCAUACCCACCCCUAGUCCAGACCUGGUAUCCCAUCAUGCCUCAGCCUCUUCAUUUACAAACAUGGGGAAGCAUCCUGCCUGGCCCUGCCCAGCUCACAAAGUUUUCACGAGGCCCAAGUAUGAUACCCGAGCCCUAGUGCUUUGUAGUUUAAUGGCAUCCUGCCACACGUGAUAGGCUACAAACGUGUCAGGGCUUCUUUUUCUCGUCCCCCGCUGCUGACAACCUGUCAUGAGGCUGACUUGCUUCCUUGAUGUGUGUAGAAACAAAGGUCUGGCCCAGCAAGUGAUGGGGACAUCUGUCUCAAAGCUGGUGUCCUGGCCAAAAAAAAAAAAAAAAAAAAAUCAUCCCUACUCACUAAGCUAACAAGCGAUUUGUGGGACAAGCACUACUAGGGACAAAUAUCACUGCCCCUUUCAUUGCUUGUAUCUGAUGGGAAAAGACACAUACUCUCUUUAGACGCUGUGAGCUGCAGCCAUUCUUUCGAUUGACGAGGAAUCUUCAGUUCCUUUUGUGUCUUCAGCCAAGAUGACGCCACAUCUUCACGGGAAGCCCUGGGGGGCAGCAGGCCCCUCUGCUCCCAGCCAGAGGGCCUGCCCGUGGGAACCACAGCGCCACCCCGAUGGUGACCAGGAGGGGCACAUGAGCACAGUCAGCAAAGGGAACGUUUGCUGUCACCGGCGGCUCACCAGCCCCCUCGGGGUGUCCACAGAGCAAUACUGUCCAGUUCAGCAGCCGCUGACAUGCGUGGCUGUAAAGUGUGUGUGGCCAGCUGAAUAACGCUCUCCAAAGAUGUCUACACCCUAAUCCUCGGAUCUGUCUUAGUUGCGGCAUGUGGGAUCUUAGCCCCCCG